CACAGUGGUGUGAGCAAAACAGAAGACACACUGAAUAGCAGGGGAUAGGUUGCUUAUCCCUUGGUUCUGCCAAUUGCCUCUUCACUUAGGAGGUCUUUGACUCUGUACAAGGACAAUUUAAACAUACACAAACAUUGCCUCUUAAGGAGGACUUCAGACAGUUGCCUGGCCAAGUAACAGGCCAGGUCUUCCAGACUACAUGAAGAAAAAGGAAUUAUAC
Molecule: long non-coding RNA, 220 nt
Filed under: Lathyrus oleraceus (garden pea)
Lineage: Eukaryota; Viridiplantae; Streptophyta; Magnoliopsida; Fabales; Fabaceae
Description: Pisum sativum (pea) long non-coding RNA (PSAT_LNC029138)
Source: RNAcentral